Molecule: ribosomal RNA, 391 nt
Filed under: uncultured bacterium
Lineage: Bacteria
Description: bacterial SSU rRNA
Rfam family: Bacterial small subunit ribosomal RNA
Source: RNAcentral
GUGCCAGCAGCCGCGGUAAGACGGAGGGGGCUAGCGUUGUUCGGAAUGACUGGGCGUAAAGGGCGCGUAGGCGGUUUUUUAAGUGAGGCGUGAAAGCCCUGGGCUUAACCCAGGAGGUGCGUUUCAUACUGGAAAGCUUGAGUACGAGAGAGGAAAGCGGAAUUCCUAGUGUAGAGGUGAAAUUCGUAGAUAUUAGGAAGAACACCAGUGGCGAAGGCGGCUUUCUGGCUCGUAACUGACGCUGAGGCGCGAAAGCGUGGGGAGCAAACAGGAUUAGAUACCCUGGUAGUCCACGCUGUAAACGAUGAGUGCUAGACGUUGGGGGGUAACCUUCAGUGUCGCAGCUAACGCAUUAAGCACUCCGCCUGGGGAGUACGGUCGCAAGAUUAAA